RNAcentral lists this long non-coding RNA (390 nucleotides) under Androctonus crassicauda. Lineage: Eukaryota; Metazoa; Arthropoda; Arachnida; Scorpiones; Buthidae. The record is from RNAcentral.
UAUAGACUAAAAUUGCCUGUAAGAAGCAACUAUAUCCUUGCGCAAGUUAAGAAGAGGUGUCUAAGGUUUGCAAUCACCGAUACCAGAAGUAGAUAUUAAAGACAGAAAAAGCAUUGCCACAACAUUUAUAGAACUCUAUGUAUGAAUGGGAUACAGCAAUCGACAAUUCAAGAUUUAAAUCCAAUAUUUGAUAGAUUCGCUUCUAACAUAAGGACCUCUUAUAUAAAGAAAAUAAGAUGGAUAUUCAAUAAACAGUUAAAAUAUUAUACAAAAAGAUCCCUUCCCUUUGAACAAGUUGCUACUGUCUUGUGUGAUGUUAGGUUGUCAGAAUAUAUGAAGCAGGUUAUCCAACUUGGCCCAAUGAAUGAUGUACUACCUAUAAAAAACCCU